Molecule: non-coding RNA, 212 nt
Organism: Cucurbita pepo subsp. pepo (vegetable marrow)
Lineage: Eukaryota; Viridiplantae; Streptophyta; Magnoliopsida; Cucurbitales; Cucurbitaceae
Source: RefSeq, a predicted model, not a curated record
ACGACCUUACUUGAACAGGAUCUGUUCUAUAGGUUGUACAACUGUGUCCUUGAGUUCUAAGGAGACAAGAACCAAAGUCUGGUGGAUGAACACUGCUGUGCGGCUAGAGCGUGACUAACAGCUUACGGGCCCUUCGGUCCUACGGCUGUAGAUGAUCGUUCUCGGAUAGGGUUCGCCCUGCCUGGGAUGGUCACAUGGCGGUCUGACAGACU